GCAUAUCAAUAAGCGGAGGAAAAGAAACUAACAAGGAUGCGCUUAGUAACGGCGAGCGAACCGCGCAAAGCCCAACUUGAAAAUCUCCCUCGGAGAAUUGUAGUCUAUAGAAGCGCCCUCUGUGGCGGCCUGAGCCCAAGUCCGCUGGAAAGCGGCGUCAGAGAGGGUGAGAACCCCGUCGGCCCCCGGUUUGCUACUCCACGAGGUGCUUUCCAUGAGUCGAGUUGUUUGGGAAU
Molecule: ribosomal RNA, 236 nt
Filed under: uncultured fungus
Lineage: Eukaryota; Fungi
Description: partial 26S ribosomal RNA
Rfam family: Eukaryotic large subunit ribosomal RNA
Source: RNAcentral